UAUAAGUAAGAAAGAAGCAGCCAUGCUAGUCUUUGAUUACUUCUUGAAGAAGAUAUGAAGCUAAUCAAUCAUGCAAAUUAGCAUGGGCAAAGUAGCCCAAGCUAAGCAUUCAUUUACUUACUAAAUCAAUAGUAUUUACUUAGCAACGACUCUAAGUCAAGCACUAUUCUACACACUGAGAAUAUAGCAGUAAACAAAAGCAAAAGUUUCUGUCUGCUUAGAGUUUACAUUCCAGUGGGGUGAAGUAAACAAGUGGAUAAAUUGAUUUUUUAUUUUUAAAGUCAGAUGGUGAAAAGGUUAUAAAGAAUGACCAGCAAGGUAGGGAGGCAGUGAUGGAGGAGCCCUUCGAACACAGAGAGUAGGAAAAGCUUUUCUGCAGCAACAGCAUUUGGGCAGAAACCUGAAUUAGGGAGCGAGCCAUGCAGACAUUAGGGUAAAUAAUACCAGAAAAGCACCAGGUACAACCCAAAUCAAUCAAGCUGUGUGCCAGUACCUUCAGUUAUAAACGCUUUCUUCUUUUUGCCCCCUAAUUUCAGGGCUAUGCAAAUUUCUUUCCUUAAAAGAAAUAGUUCCCAAGAGAGCCCCACUGUAAUGAGCCAGAAGAAAUGUCAAAAUCCCUACUGUGGCCAAAUCUUGUCAAAACGGACACACUACAACCAUCAUACUGUAUUGGUUCUUUUGUAAAGCAAAGGUUACAGGUGACAAGCACUAAGAGGCACACUGAGAAAAGGCAUUGGCUUUGGUUUGUGCUGCAGCAGUUUGCCAAGCAUGUGAACAUGGGCAAGCUACUUCUGAGUUCUAAAUCUCUCUUGUGGAAAUUGUGCAUUGUAGUAUCUACAUUACAGUACUGUACUGUGCACUGGAAAGAAAUAUUAAUAUAUAGUGUCUGGCAUAUACUAGGGUUCAAUGAAUGGUAAUAUUAGUAAUAUUUUAAUUUAAUGCUGUAUUUUAAAUUUAACAUUAACAUUUUCUUUAAAAAUUAGCUGUGACAGAUUAUAUUUUCCAAAAAUGGCUGCAGCAGUAUUUCUGGUCCAUUUCCCUAGGCCUAGGCAGGCUUGUUAACUGCUCCCAAAAAUAAAAUGUGAUGGAAGCAAUGCUGUAUGACUGAGGUCGGGUCCUCAAAAGGAGAUGCCAGCACUAGCUCUCAUUCUGAGAUGCUCAGGCUGAGGAGACCAACCACUGUACUGGUACCUCAACCAGGAGAAGGCAACGAGGAGCAGUUUAUGUCUGGCGGAACACACACUGCUUGUUAACAAUGCUGGAUGGGAUUGAUGGAGACUACACACACACAGACACACGCAAUACCAACUUCCUUAUGAAGGACCUUUGUUCCUUGGAUUCAUAAAUUAAGAUGUCACUUGCACCACAUAAAAUGCAUCUGAAUCAGCUUAGUGGUGCUUCCAUGGGGCUCAAAAUGAGCUUUGUUCUAAGGGUAAGGCAAGGUAAUACAGAUUUAUUAAACCCCAAUUCUCCUGUAUUUGAAAAAUAAGUGGAAGAGACUGGGUGAAGAAACACUACCUUCUUUGGCUUCUCUUUCCUUUCUCAUGAAAAUCUCUUUCAUUUAAAGUCCCACUGAAAAAAGUACAUCUCUAACUCUACACAAACCUAUAAGCCUCCCAGACAGAAGAAAAAUAAGUAGAAGAAUCUUAUUCAACACACUUCCUCCAUGCUCAAAGCUGUUUUAUUGUAAAGGUAGAGAAAGAAUAUAUAUCAUUUCCAAAUUAAAAUUCAUUCAGCAAAUAUUUAUGGAGGGUCUUCUAGGUUCCAGGCAUUGUUCUAGAAACAGAGAACUUACUCACCUAUAAGGGCAGUGCAUGUGGGAGGUAACACUGUAGAAAGGAAUUACUAUCCAAUCCGAUCCCACCUCCAGCAUCUUUCCCAAUCUCCCUCUAUAUGACCUGAUGUGGUCUGUCCCAGCAUUUAUGCUUUCCGCUGCUUUGUUUCCUUUACUUUUUCAUCUCUUUCCCUCCCCAUAUGCUUACUAUGUAUAGCAAGACUGAGUUCAAGUGUUACCUUUCACUUAUGUCUUGUCUGCUACCCCGUGUCACUGCUUCCUUUGAAGUCCUGAAAAACUUAAGUUUCUCUAUACUCUAGGCUCAUCUCUGACUAUGCUCCCCAUUCCCCAUCACAUAUCCUACUCUGGCCACACUGGACCAUGCCCAGUUCUACAAAUGAGCCCUGUUCUUUCCUGAUUCAAGGUCUCCACACCUGAGUGUGGGGUGCCUUUCCCACCACCCCAAAAUGAUCUCCUCAGACUCUGCAUCUUUUUUCAGUCUCAGCUUAUUUUCAUUUACGUAUAUACUCUGAACUAUUAUUAUUUGUGGCACCUCUGCUAUGUGCCAGGCCCAUGGACUAGUCCUGGGAAUGCAGCUAUGAAUGAAACAGUUGAAGUCCCUGCUCUCUUGGAGCUUAUAUUCUGGUAAGGAGAGACAUUAAGUAAGUUAAAAAAAAAAAAA
Molecule: long non-coding RNA, 2456 nt
Organism: Cercocebus atys (sooty mangabey)
Lineage: Eukaryota; Metazoa; Chordata; Mammalia; Primates; Cercopithecidae
Exons: 2
Source: RefSeq, a predicted model, not a curated record